Molecule: ribosomal RNA, 490 nt
Filed under: uncultured bacterium
Lineage: Bacteria
Description: partial 16S ribosomal RNA
Rfam family: Bacterial small subunit ribosomal RNA
Source: RNAcentral
AAUGAACGCUGGCGGCAGGCCUAACACAUGCAAGUCGAACGGUAACAGGAAGACGCUUGCUUCUUUGCUGACGAGUGGCGGACGGGUGAGUAAUGUCUUGGAAACUGCCUGAUGGAGGGGGAUAACUACUGGAAACGGUAGCUAAUACCGCAUAACGUCGCAAGACCAAAGAGGGGGACCUUCGGGCCUCUUGCCGUCGGAUGUGCCCAGAUGGGAUUAGCUAGUAGGUGGGGUAACGGCUCACCUAGGCGACGAUCCCUAGCUGGUCUGAGAGGAUGACCAGCCACACUGGAACUGAGACACGGUCCAGACUCCUACGGGAGGCAGCAGUGGGGAAUAUUGCACAAUGGGCGCAAGCCUGAUGCAGCCAUGCCGCGUGUAUGAAGAAGGCCUUCGGGUUGUAAAGUACUUUCAGCGGGGAGGAAGGGAGUAAAGUUAAUACCUUUGCUCAUUGACGUUACCCGCAGAAGAAGCACCGGCUAACUCCGUG